GCCACUUUAGCUCAGUUGGUAGAGCACCCGCCUUGUAAGCGGACGGUCAACAGUUCGAGUCUGUUAAGUGGCUCCA
Molecule: transfer RNA, 76 nt
Filed under: Mobiluncus curtisii
Lineage: Bacteria; Bacillati; Actinomycetota; Actinomycetes; Actinomycetales; Actinomycetaceae
Also listed under: 8 other names
Description: tRNA-Thr(tgt)
Rfam family: tRNA
About the family: Transfer RNA (tRNA) molecules are approximately 80 nucleotides in length. Their secondary structure includes four short double-helical elements and three loops (D, anti-codon, and T loops).
Source: RNAcentral